RNAcentral lists this unclassified non-coding RNA (452 nucleotides) under uncultured Russula. RNAcentral's name for it is "sequence contains ITS2". The stretch from base 1 to 154 matches the Rfam family "5.8S ribosomal RNA". The record is from RNAcentral. Lineage: Eukaryota; Fungi; Basidiomycota; Agaricomycetes; Russulales; Russulaceae.
AACUUUCGGCAACGGAUCACUUGGCUCUCGCAUCGAUGAAGAACGCAGCGAAAUGCGAUACGUAAUGUGAAUUGCAGAAUUCAGUGAAUCAUCGAAUCUUUGAACGCACCUUGCACCCCUUGGUAUUCCGAGGGGUGCACCCGUUUGAGUGUCGUGAACACCCUCAACCUUUUUGGUUUAUCAACCGAGAAGGAUUGGACUUUGGAGGGUAUUGUUGCUGGCAUCGAUGACACCCAGCGUCUCCUCAAUGAAGGCGUGGGGUCCGCUGAGCCGAUCCUGGACGUGCUAAGUACGCAUCUGCGUGUUGGCGUCUCGAUUUGAUGCGGUGGAAUCUCGCUUCAAAGAGUCGAUGAAUGAAGAAAAUGUUCGAGUCGUGUCUCGUCCUUAUUGUCGUUGCCCUCAAAUCGGGUGAGAGUGCCCGGUGAUCUGUUGCAUAUCAAUACGCGGAGGCU